CAGUCGCCACGGUAAUACGGAGGGAGCUAGCGUUAUUCGGAAUUACUGGGCGUAAAGCGCACGUAGGCGGCUUUGUAAGUUAGAGGUGAAAGCCUGGAGCUCAACUCCAGAAUUGCCUUUAAGACUGCAUCGCUUGAAUCCAGGAGAGGUGAGUGGAAUUCCGAGUGUAGAGGUGAAAUUCGUAGAUAUUCGGAAGAACACCAGUGGCGAAAGCGGCUCACUGGACCAUUUCUGACGCUGAUGCACGAAAGCUAGGGGAGCAAACAGGAUUAGAUACCCGGGUAUCCCUGUUUCUUAUACA
RNAcentral lists this ribosomal RNA (301 nucleotides) under uncultured bacterium. Its description in RNAcentral is "partial 16S ribosomal RNA". It matches the Rfam family "Bacterial small subunit ribosomal RNA", at positions 509 to 809 of the family's 1533-position model. The record is from RNAcentral.